RNAcentral lists this ribosomal RNA (1296 nucleotides) under metagenome. RNAcentral's name for it is "bacterial LSU rRNA". It matches the Rfam family "Bacterial large subunit ribosomal RNA", at positions 1638 to 2925 of the family's 2925-position model. The record is from RNAcentral.
ACGACCGUACCGCAAACCGACACUGGUGCGCGUGAUGAGUAUUCUAAGGCGCUUGAGAGAACUCAGGAGAAGGAACUCGGCAAAUUGACACCGUAACUUCGGAAGAAGGUGUGCCUUUAGUAGGUGAACCUGUACAAGGGGAGCCCAAUGAGGUUGCAAAAAAUCGGUGGCUGCGACUGUUUAAUAAAAACACAGCACUCUGCAAACACGAAAGUGGACGUAUAGGGUGUGACGCCUGCCCGGUGCUGGAAGAUUAAAUGAUGGGGUGCAAGCUCUUGAUUGAAGUCCCAGUAAACGGCGGCCGUAACGAUAACGGUCCUAAGGUAGCGAAAUUCCUUGUCGGGUAAGUUCCGACCUGCACGAAUGGCGUAACGAUGGCCACACUGUCUCCUCCUGAGACUCAGCGAAGUUGAAAUGUUUGUGAUGAUGCAAUCUCCCCGCGGAAAGACGGAAAGACCCCAUGAACCUUUACUGUAGCUUUGUAUUGGACUUUGAACAGAUCUGUGUAGGAUAGGUGGGAGGCUUUGAAGUGUGGUCGCUAGAUCGCAUGGAGCCAACGUUGAAAUACCACCCUGGUGUGUUUGAGGUUCUAACCUAGGCCCGUAAUCCGGGUCGGGGACAGUGCAUGGUAGGCAGUUUGACUGGGGCGGUCUCCUCCCAAAGCGUAACGGAGGAGUUCGAAGGUACGCUAGGUACGGUCGGACAUCGUGCUAAUAGUGCAAUGGCAUAAGCGUGCUUAACUGCGAGACUGACAAGUCGAGCAGAUGCGAAAGCAGGACAUAGUGAUCCGGUGGUUCUGUAUGGAAGGGCCAUCGCUCAACGGAUAAAAGGUACUCUGGGGAUAACAGGCUGAUACCGCCCAAGAGUUCAUAUCGACGGCGGUGUUUGGCACCUCGAUGUCGGCUCAUCUCAUCCUGGGGCUGUAGCCGGUCCCAAGGGUAUGGCUGUUCGCCAUUUAAAGAGGUACGUGAGCUGGGUUUAAAACGUCGUGAGACAGUUUGGUCCCUAUCUUCCGUGGGCGCUGCAGAUUUGAGGAAGCCUGCUCCUAGUACGAGAGGACCGGAGUGGACACACCUCUGGUGUAUCGGUUGUCACGCCAGUGGCAUUGCCGAGUAGCUAUGUGUGGAAGAGAUAACCGCUGAAAGCAUCUAAGCGGGAAACUCGUUUCAAGAUGAGAUCUGCCGGGGCCUUGAGCCCCCUAAAGAGUCGUUCAAGACCAGGACGUUGAUAGGUCGGGUGUGGAAGCGCAGUAAUGCGUUAAGCUAACCGAUACUAAUUGCUCGUGCGGCUUGACCA